GGCUGGAUUUGAACCAUGAUCUUCAGAUCUCAGCCUCCUGAGUAUCUAGGCAGGAACUACUGGUGCCUGGCUAGUUUUUCACUUGCUAACAUCAGGCCACUCUGAGGUUUACC
Long non-coding RNA from Dipodomys spectabilis (banner-tailed kangaroo rat), 113 nucleotides. RefSeq lists it as uncharacterized. The record is from RefSeq and is a predicted model, not a curated record. NCBI's taxonomy places the organism in Eukaryota, Metazoa, Chordata, Mammalia, Rodentia, Heteromyidae. The transcript is spliced from 3 exons.